UUAAAACAGAAAUCAUAUAAAUACCAAUAAAUGAGGAAGCGAUUAAAAUAAAUUCGAUCUCACAGUAAUUGCAGAACCAAAUCUUCAGUUGUCCCUUGACUAGAAUUAGAAGGUUAGUCUCCCAUUAAUGGAGAACAACCAUGCGCAAAAGCUAUCUGAAUCUUACAAAAUUGUUCCUGGCCAAAUCGGCCAACUAGCCAAGGAAAAGUAAUAAGAACAAAGUAAUUGUGCUCUUUUAUUUCUCCCGUGAAAAGAAGAUCCGAAUUUGUUGCUAGCUCCCGUCUUUAUCACGCGGGAUCCGUCCUUUUUUCCUCUUCAAAGUCGGCUGGCCUUCCUUCCUUUUCUCCCUAAUUCCUUACAAAGACAUACGAAAGUCUCUUUCCUUCCAUCAAACUCAAGCUAGAAAGACUUCCUAAUAGUCUAGAAUCCUAGUCUAUAUGACCCUUCCUAAUCUAAUAGAUUUUCCUAAUAAAAAAAAUAGUUUUCUCAUAGUACUCAACUACUAAAUAGAAAAAGGCAAUAAUUAUUCCAGCAUAGCCUCGGACUUGGAAUCGACAAUUCUUUGGAAACUGCCUCGUGCGCGUGAGAUCUCGAAUCUUCUAGACUUGAAUGUAGGUCCCGAACGUGCCUCCACUAAAUUAGAUGGAAAUUGUCCCUUUUAAUCAUGUUUUGGUUAUUUUUCCUACAAUUAGCACUAUUAACCAAAUAUAAGUAGAAUCCAUCAAUUAAUACAAUAUUUGGCUAAAAUAAAAGGGAAAAAUAAUUAUAAAUGUAGUAACAAAUUAUAACCUAUCAAUUUCCCCCACACCUAAACCAUGCUCGUCCUCAAGCAUGAGAACAACAAAUCAAACAAAUAAAAUCAAACAAUGGCUAUUGUUCAAAUCUUCUAUUGCCAAGAUACAAUUAAAACAUAUGUCAAGUAUUAGUGGUAAUUUUUCAAGCAAUAUCUCUCCAGUUAGCUUUCAAGAUUAAGGACUCUUCUAAUUUAUGACUAACUAGUCUAAGAAUAUAAAAUAUUCAACCAGCAUCCAUAAGCAAAUGGUUCGACUAUUAAGCAAAAUCUCAACAUUAAAAUUCAAGGAUCAGCGGGCUAACAAUUCAUUCAUAUUUUUCACUAUUAGCACUUUUUUUUUUUUAGAAUAUCCCCACUUGAUUGAUUUUUUUUUGUUUUGUUUUAGGGGGAAUGCUUGGUCUUUAGCCAUUUAAGCGUUUUGACGCGAACUCCGACAUUGGCCAAAUGAAGGAACCCGGUUACUCAAUUUUUAUCGCUAAAAGACCACAUACUCAUAGUUAUCAUCGCUUUUUGACGCGAAAGUUAACAUUUGUGAUGAAGACCUCUGGUUACUAGGCAACGAUACUAGCCGAGUAUAGCUGAAUACUAUUCAAAAAUAAGCAUCAAAUUAAAAUUAAUAAUCACACAAAUCCGCUUUAUUUCUUAAACAUGGAGAACUAAGAUUAAUAGUUGAACCAAUUUGCAUAAAAAAAUGCUAGAUAAAUAUUUACAAUACUUAGAGAAAUUAACCAAAAAGUGUAAAAGUCACAAAAUCUCAAAUAUUCACCAAAGAGAUACCCUUAAACUUAACCAUGUCAUACUUAACACCUUAAAGUGUAAAAUCUUAGCAAUAGAAAAAUUUGAGACAUCUAACCAUCAUUUAUCAAGAAUAAUCACAAAUAUGCACAAAGAUAGGCAAAAAUUGGAUAAAAUUCAACAAAGUCAAACAAAAAAUUCCAACAAAAAUACCUACACUUGCACUUUUUCAAUAAAAUACCAAUAUAAUACUCCCCCCCACACCUAAAUCUUGCAUUGUCCCCAAUGUAAGCACUAAAGAAUAAAAUUCAAAGCAAAAGGGACAACGAAACUUCCCUGAUCAUCAAAGGGGGGUUGUGGCACAACUGUAGGUGAGAGGCAAAAGACAUGUAGAGCUCGAUGGCAAAAUUGAUGACGAUGAAGGCUAUGAUCGGCAGCUAAGGAUGUUAGAUGGCUCACGAUAGAUGAGGAAGAAUUAUGCGCGAUGAGCAGCGAUAAUCAGGAACCAACGACCCACGUUAAACAACGCAACGGUGGCGGUGGAAUUUGAGGUCCUUUGGUUGCGGUCUUGCGGCUGGAAAAGAAAAGAAAGGAAUAAAAAGGAAAGGGAGAGUAGAAGAAAAGAGAGAAAGAAAGAAAGAAAAAGAAAAGAAAGGAAAUUUUUAUUUUUUAAACCACUGCAUUAGAUGUGGGCACGCCUAACUGCCCUUGAAUCUUCUGUCCAACCCACGGAAAUAAAGCUCCUUAAGCGUGACCACUUGGCGUGGGCACGCCUAACUACUAGAGAGUUUUCUGACCAUUUUUCAGAAAUUGAGUUCCUUAGACGUGACCACUUGGCGUGGGUACGCCUAACGACUAUAGAGUCUUCUGACCGCAGACGAAAAUUUCCUCCCUUAAGCGUGACCAUCUGGCGUGGGCACGCCUAACUGCUGGGUAGUCUUCUGUCCGCCAAAUUAAAACUUCCUUCCUUAGGCGUGACCAAUUGGCGUGGGCACGUCUAAUUGCCAACUUCCUGCCACAAUAGCAACAAAUCACUAAAUGCAACUAACACUUAAAAAAAACUCUAAAAACAUAAGAAAAUUAAAACAAAAGCCUUGGGUUGCCUCCCAAGCAGCACCUUUUUUUAAAGUCUUUGGCUAGACAUUUUCAUGUUUAUUCAUGGAGGAUAAAAUCGUGCAGCUCGUUUCAGUGCUUCAUCUUCUAUGUAGUCCUGAUAUCCCUCGUAAAUAGAGUAAUCCUUGAGCCCACGAGGUACGGUCUUCUAUGGAUUAGUAGAUGGCGUCAAACAAACAAGUGAUGGCGUUAAAUCUUCACUCACUCCUCCAUCACGAGCACUUAUUGGUUCGAGAUAUUUUGCCAUCGCAACUCUUAACUUAUUCCUGUCAUGAAAUUUAAAAUCUUCUGGUAUAAUAAAAUCAAUUUCACUAACAGGAAUUGAAAAAUAAGAGUUAGAAAAAUAUUGAUUAAGGAAUGGAGGAGAUGUCACCGCAUUUGGAGAUUGUUCACUGGAUUCAUUCACUUGGACCAUUUGAUGCUGAGGUCUCAUAUCUUGCACUUCAACUUUCUUUUCAACUGCAUCUUUAGAUCCUUCUUCUUGAGAUUUUUGCAGUACCAUGUCAUUUGUCAGGAUAAUUACACCCUCAUCUUCUUCAUGGUCGAUAAUAGUUGCUGAGGGCAAUUCUUCACUCAUUCGAGAAGUCAAUUGCGUUAUCCUAGAUGUCAAUUGAUCCAUUUGAUCUGCCAGGUUACGCAUGCUCGCUUGUGUCUCUGAUGAAAGUUCAUUGUCACCUGUUGAAGUAGAUGUGUCUCCUGUUGAAUUUGAUAUGUCUUAGUAGCUAUUAAUUCAACUAUUUCUUCAAGAGACGUACCUGACAUGGAUGACGGUUCUUGAGACUCUAAUUGUUGAAAAUCUAUUAGCCUUUGCUCAUAAUUAAAAUUGGAAUCAUCCCACCAUCCUCCCUCAUACCCAUUUGGAUAAGGGUCAUACCACGUUUGAUAUUGAGGUGAAAAAUUUCCACAAGUAUUUAUUGGAGCACUUAGACCAUUUUGAAAUGCAGAGCACAUGUCGGUUGCAUGAUUUGAGACAAAAUAAGUUCCGCAAUUUGCAACAGCCCAUUGAUCAUCAGAUAAAACACGAGUCUCAUAACCCCUUCUAGAAAUAAAAUCCAAUCUAUCACCAAAAUACGGAAAGUUAGCAGCCAUAACUAUAUAUUAAAAAAAAAGAGAAAAAUAAUAAAAAUAAUAAAAAUAAAAAUAAGAUGAACUCAAAAAGAAACAAAUUAAUCAAGCACCAGUCCCCGGCAACGGCGCCAAAAAUUGACAGGUGUCGAACCUGCACAUUAAUAAAUACCUACUCGAAAAAAAUACAGAUUUUGUAUAUAGCGGUGAGUAGGGUCGAAUCCACAGGGAUUAGGAUAAUUCGUUUCAUCUAGAAUUCAAAGUAUGGGGGGUUUUUGGAUUAAAUGCUAACUAAAUAAAUUAAAUGCAGAAAAUAGUUAAUUAAAAGAAAUAAUUAGAGAAACUCUAGCCAAGGGUAUACUUCAGAAAUGGUUCAUGCACUGAUCAUCGAUUCACAGAUAAUUCCACAUUUAUUAAUAGAUUGGUUAUAGUUGUCAUAAACGCGAUAAACAACCAACCUUUCCUUACUUUCUCGAUAGUUAAGGUACGACCGUUAACUAUUUCUCUAACCCAAAAACAACCCUUGGUACGACCGUAGGAUUUAAUUUCUAGCUUGCAUUAAGAAUUAGAAAGGCCCAAUCCUAACUAACAAACACGCUACGAGGGUUUGUUUAAGUUAGAUCGUAUGUUUCCCUGACAUAAACCCAAUUACGCCUGUUGCUACUAGGAUAGAGAUAACGAACAAUUACAGAUUCAAUUACCCCUAUUUAGCAAAAUGGCCUAUAUGAAUAAUUAAUUAUUGCGCACUAAUCAAUCAUACACAAGAGGUAUAACAAUUAAAAACAGGAAUCAUAUAAAUACCAAUAAAUAAGGAAGCGAUUAAAAUAAAUUCGAUCUCACAGUAAUUGCAGAACCAAAUCUUCAGUUGUCCCUUGACUAGAAUUAGAAGGUUAGUCCCCCAUUAAUGGAGAACAACCAUGCGCAAAAGCUAUCUGAAUCUUACAAAAUUGUUCCUGGCCAAAUCGGCCAACUAGCCAAGGAAAAGUAAUAAGAACAAAAUAAUUGUGCUCUUUUAUUUCUCCCGUGAAAAGAAGAUCCGAAUUUGUUGCUAGCUCCCGUCUUUAUCACGCGGGAUCCGUCCUUUUUUCCUCUUCAAAGUCGGCUGGCCUUCCUUCCUUUUCUCCCUAAUUCCUUACAAAGACAUACGAAAGUCUCUUUCCUUCCGUCAAACUCAAGCUAAAAGACUUCCUAAUAGUCUAGAAUCCUAGUCUAUAUGACCCUUCCUAAUCUAAUAGAUUUUCCUAAUAAAAAAAUAGUUUUCUCAUAGUACUCAACUACUAAAUAGAAAAAGACAAUAAUUAUUCCAGCAUAGCCUCGAACUUGGAAUCGACAAUUCUUUGGAAACUACCUCGUGCGCGUGAGAUCUCGAAUCUUCUGGACUUGAAUGUAGGUCCCGAACGUGCCUCCACUAAAUUAGAUGGAAAUUGUCCCUUUUAAUCAUGUUUUGGUUAUUUUUCCUACAAUUAGCACUAUUAACCAAAUAUAAGUAGAAUCCAUCAAUUAAUACAAUAUUUGGCUAAAAUAAAAGGGAAAAAUAAUUAUAAAUGUAGUAACAAAUUAUAACUUAUCAAUUUCCCCCACACCUAAACCAUGCUUGUCCUCAAGCAUGAGAACAACAAAUCAAACAAAUAAAAUCAAACAAUGGCUAUUGUUCAAAUCUUCUAUUGCCAAGAUACAAUUAAAACAUAUGUCAAGUAUUAGUGGUAAUUUUUCAAGCAAUAUCUCUCCAGUUAGCUUUCAAGAUUAAGGACUCUUCUAAUUUAUGACUUACUAGUCUAAGAAUAUAAAAUAUUCAACCAGCAUCCAUAAGCAAAUGGUUCGACUAUUAAGCAAAAUCUCAACAUUAAAAUUCAAGGAUCAGCGGGCUAACAAUUCAUUCAUAUUUUUCACUAUUAGCACUUUUUUUUUUUUAGAAUAUCCCCACUUGAUUGAUUUUUUUUUGUUUUGUUUUAGGGGGAAUGCUUGGUCUUUAGCCAUUUAAGCGUUUUGACGCGAACUCCGACAUUGGCCAAAUGAAGGAACCCGGUUACUCAAUUUUUAUCGCUAAAAGACCACAUACUCAUAGUUAUCAUCGCUUUUUGACGCGAAAGUUAACAUUUGUGAUGAAGACCUCCGGUUACUAGGCAACGAUACUAGCGGAGUAUAGCUGAAUACUAUUCAAAAAUAAGCAUCAAAUUAAAAUUAAUAAUCACACAAACCCGCUUUAUUUCUUAAACAUGAAGAACUAAGAUUAAUAGUUGAACCAAUUUGCAUAAAAAAAUGCUAGAUAAAUAUUUACAAUACUUAGAGAAAUUAACCAAAAAGUGUAAAAGUCACAAAAUCUCAAAUAUUCACCAAAGAGAUACCCUUAAACUUAACCAUGUCAUACUUAACACCUUAAAGUGUAAAAUCUUAGCAAUAGAAAAAUUUGAGACAUCUAACCAUCAUUUAUCAAGAAUAAUCACAAAUAUGCACAAAGAUAGGCAAAAAUUGGAUAAAAUUCAACAAAGUCAAUCAAAAAAUUCCAACAAAAAUACCUACACUUGCACUUUUUCAAUAAAAUACCAAUAUAAUACUCCCCGCCAUACCUAAAUCUUGCAUUGUCCCCAAUGUAAGCACUAAAGAAUAAAAUUCAAAGCAAAAAGGGACAACGAAACUUCCCUGAUCAUCAAAGGGGGGUUGUGGCACAACUGUAGGUGAGAGGCAAAAGACAUGUAGAGCUCGAUGGCAAAACUGAUGACGAUGAAGGCUAUGAUCUGCAGCUAAGGAUGUUAGGUGGUUCACGAUAGAUGAGGAAGAAUUAUACGCGAUGAGCAGCGAUAAUCAGGAACCGACGACCCAUGUUAAACAACGCAACGGUGGCGGUGGAAUUUGAGGUCCUUUGGUUGCGGUCUUGCGGCUGGAAAAGAAAAGAAAGGAAUAAAAAGGAAAGGGAGAGAAGAAGAAAAGAGAGAAAGAAAGAAAGAAAAAGAAAAGAAAGGAAAUUUUUUUUUUUGAAACCACUGCAUUAGAUGUGGGCACGCCUAACUGCCCUUGAAUCUUCUGACCAACCCACGGAAAUCAAGCUCCUUAAGCGUGACCACUUGGCGUGGGCACGCCUAACUACUAGAGAGUCUUCUGACCAUUUUUCAGAAAUUGAGUUCCUUAGGCGUGACCACUUGGCGUGGGUACGCCUAACUACUAUAGAGUCUUCUGACCGCAGACUAAAAUUGCCUCCCUUAAGCGUGACCAUCCGGCAUGGGCAUGCCUAACUGCUGGGUAGUCUUCUGUCCGCCAAAUUAAAACUUCCUUCCUUAGACGUGACCAACUAGCGUGGGCACGUCUAACUGCCAACUUCCUGCCACAAAAGCAACAAAUCAUUAAAUGCAACUAACACUUAAAAAAAACUCUAAAAACAUAUGAAAAUUAAAACAAAAGCCUUGGUUUGCCUCCCAAGCAGCGCCUUUCUUUAAUGUCUUUGGCUAGACAUUUUCAUGUUUAUUCAUGGAGGAUAAAAUCGUGCAACUCGUUUCAGUGCUUCAUCUUCUCUGUAAUCCUGAUAUCCCUCGUAAAUAGAGUAAUCCUUGAGCCCACGAGGUACGGUCUUCUAUGGAUUAGUAGAUGGCGUCAAACAAACAAGUGAUGGCGUUAAAUCUUCACUCACUCUUCCAUCACGAGCACUUAUUGGUUCGAGAUAUUUUGCCAUCGCAACUCUUAACUUAUUCCUGUCAUGAAAUUUAAAAUCUUCUGGUAUAAUAAAAUCAAUUUCACUAACAGGAAUUGAAAAAUAAGAGUUAGAAAAAUAUUGAUUAAGGAAUGGAGGAGAUGUCACCGCAUUUGGAGAUUGUUCACUGGAUUCAUUCACUUGGACCAUUUGAUGCUGAGGUCUCAUAUCUUGCACUUCAACUUUCUUUUCAACUGCAUCUUUAGAUCCUUCUUCUUGAGAUUUUUGCAGUACCAUGUCAUUUGUCAGGAUAAUUACACCCUCAUCUUCUUCAUGGUCGAUAAUAGUUGCUGAGGGCAAUUCUUCACUCAUUCGAGAAGUCAAUUGCGUUAUCUUAGAUGUCAAUUGAUCCAUUUGAUCUGCCAGGUUACGCAUGCUCGCUUGUGUCUCUGAUGAAAGUUCAUUGUCACCUGUUGAAGUAGAUGUGUCUCCUGUUGAAUUUGAUAUGUGUUAGUAGCUAUUAAUUCAACUAUUUCUUCAAGAGACGUACCUGACAUGGAUGACGGUUCUUGAGACUCUAAUUGUUGAAAAUCUAUUAGCCUUUGCUCAUAAUUAAAAUUGGAAUCAUCCCACCAUCCUCCCUCAUACCCAUUUGGAUAAGGGUCAUACCACGUUUGAUAUUGAGGUGAAAAAUUUCCACAAGUAUUUAUUGGAGCACUUAGACCAUUUUGAAAUGCAGAGCACAUGUCGGUUGCAUGAUUUGAGACAAAAUAAGUUCCACAAUUUGCAACAGCCCAUUGAUCAUCAGAUAAAACACGAGUCUCAUAACCCCUUCUAGAAAUAAAAUCCAAUCUAUCACCAAAAUACGGAAAGUUAGCAGCCAUAACUAUAUAUUAAAAAAAUAAGAGAAAAAUAAUAAAAAUAAAAAUAAGAUGAACUAAAAAAGAAACAAAUUAAUCAAACACCAGUCCCCGGCAACGGCGCCAAAAAUUGACAGGUGUCGAACGUGCACAAUAAUAAAUACCUACUCGAAAAAAAUACAGAUUUUGUAUAUAGCGGUGAGUAGAGUCGAAUCCACAGGGAUUGUGGAUAAUUCGUUUCUUUUAGAAUUCAAAGUAUGGGGGGUUUUUGGAUUAAAUGCUAACUAAAUAAAUUAAAUGCAGAAAAUAGUUAAUUAAAAGAAAUAAUUAGAGAAACUCUAACCAAGGGUACACUUCAGAAAUGGUUCAUGCACUGAUCAUCGAUUCACAGAUAAUUCCACAUUUAUUAAUAGAUUGGUUAUAGUUGUCAUACACGCGAUAAACAACCAACCUUUCCUUACUUUCUCGAUAGUUAAGGUACGACCGUUAACUAUUUCUCUAACCCAAAAACAACCCUAGGUACGACCGUAGGAUUUAAUUUCUAGCUUGUAUUAAGAAUUAGAAAGGCCUGAUCCUAACUAACAAACACGCUACGAGGGUUUGUUUAAAUUAGAUCGUAUGUUUCCCUGACAUAAACCCAAUUACGCCAGUUGCUACUGGGAUAGAGAUAACGAACAAUUACGGAUUCAAUUACCCCUAUUUAGCAAAAUAGCUUAUAUGAAUAAUUAAUUAUUGCGCACUAAUCAAUCAUACACAAGAGCUAUAACAAUUAAAAACAGGAAUCAUAUAAAUACCAAUAAAUGAGGAAGCGAUUAAAAUAAAUUCGAUCUCACGGUAAUUGCAGAACCAAAUCUUCAGUUGUCCCUUUACUAGAAUUAGAAGGUUAGUCCCCCAUUAAUGGAGAACAACCAUGCGCAAAAGGUAUCUGAAUCUUACAAAAUUGUUCCUGGCCAAAUCAGCCAACUAGCCAAGGAAAAGUAAUAAGAACAAAGUAAUUGUGCUCUUUUAUUUCUCCCGUGAAAAGAAGAUCCGAAUUUGUUGCUAGCUCCCGUCUUUAUCACGCGGGAUCCGUCCUUUUUUCCUCUUCAAAGUCGGCUGGCCUUCCUUCCUUUUCUCCCUAAUUCCUUACAAAGACAUGCGAAAGUCCCUUUCCUUCCGUCAAACUCAAGCUAGAAAGACUUCCUAAUAGUCUAGAAUCCUAGUCUGUAUGACCCUUCCUAAUCUAAUAGAUUUUCCUAAUAAAAAAAUAGUUUUCUCAUAGUACUCAACUACUAAAUAGAAAAAGGCAAUAAUUAUUCCAGCAUAGCCUCGGACUUGGAAUCGACAAUUCUUUGGAAACUGCCUCGUGCGCGUGAGAUCUCGAAUCUUCUGGACUUGAAUGUAGGUCCCGAACGUGCCUUCACUAAAUUAGAUGGAAAUUGGCCCUUUUAAUCAUGUUUUGGUUAUUUUUCCUACAAUUAGCACCAUUAACCAAAUAUAAGUAGAAUCCAUCAAUUAAUACAAUAUUUGGCUAAAAU
This 9705-nucleotide long non-coding RNA is filed under the name Coffea arabica (coffee). Its description in RNAcentral is "long non-coding RNA (CARA_LNC000601)". Lineage: Eukaryota; Viridiplantae; Streptophyta; Magnoliopsida; Gentianales; Rubiaceae. The record is from RNAcentral.